This is a non-coding RNA of Cicer arietinum (chickpea), 902 nucleotides long. The record is from RefSeq and is a predicted model, not a curated record. Lineage: Eukaryota; Viridiplantae; Streptophyta; Magnoliopsida; Fabales; Fabaceae.
AAAUCAUAUAAACCGGUUUUUUUACGGUCACUUCUAUCGUCUCUUCCUAUUCCAUCCGCCCUUUCACCCAAAACUCCAAAACCAUCCUGACUUUGCCAUCGUCCAAGGCUACCGACCUUCUACUGCCGGCACCGUUUUCCGGCAACCCGGCACCGUCCUUCCUUCUUUCUCAAUCGUUUAGUUCUGACUAAGAGAACAACAUUCAUGUUCACCAAUGACCAAAGGCAACAAGAGCGAACAGGAAGAUAUGGAACUCCUAGGUUGCAAUACCUUCAGGAAUUGGUGACUCAGUUUCAGAUCGCAUCUGAGGAUGGUAGGGACCCAUCAUUUGUCUUUGCAAUAAGGAAAACUACACAAGAUGAAUUAAGAUGCCCUUGCGUAAUUGCAGCUUAAUGUUUUGGAACUUUUCCUUGACUGUAUAACUGAACCCAAUGAAAAGCUUAUAGAAUUUGGUGUUGGAGGGAUCUGCAAUGGCUGUGUUGAUCCAGCCAAUGCUGCAAUUAUAGCUGGAGUUGGUGGAAUUCCUCUUAUCAUUCAAUGUUUAUCAAGCCCAGUUAGGAACACUGUAAAUUAUGCACUCGGGGCACUUUAUUAUGUCUGUAAUGAAUCUAACAAGAAAGAGGUUUUAAAGCCUGAAGUUGUUGAUGUCAUCAAGAGGUAUGCAACAGCUGAAGAAGUUAGUGUGAGCUUCAGUAAUCUGGCUAGAGCUUUUCUAGACAAACAUGUAGCAGGGAACUAGUAUGUGAGACAGUCCAUAAUUCCAUUUUCAGUUAAGAAUUUAUAUUUCUUCUGAGGAAUGUGGCCACUGCAUGCAAUUGAAAGUUUUUCAUUUCCUGAUUCUUAUAAGGUUACCUUUUAAUUAUUCUGAAUUAGUUAAAAUAACACCUUGCUUUGGUUUGGCA